UGGGAUGUUUUUUUUGCACACAUAUUGCAGGAAAGUUGGUUAUGGACUAAUGGCUUAGUUGCACAAAUAUGUGCUUCUUUUCGCACAAACAGUACACCCAAUCCAUCUUUCUAGUCUGGGUUGUUUGUUGCACAUAUUUUGCAGGAAAGAUGUCAUUGGAUUAAUGCUUAGUGUGCAAAUAUAUUUACUCCUUUAUAGUUUUGGCUGUUGGUUGCACACAUUGUAGAAAAAGUUGGCUUGGAUCCACGAUUUAGUUGCACAAAUAUGGACUUCUAUUUGCACAGACACUACAUCCACUCCAUGUUUCUAGUCUGGGCUGUUUGUUGCACAUUUUUUUUUUGCAAAACUACUCCCUUGUGUCUAUUUGCACACUUCCAGGCAGAAGUUGGUUUUGCUACUGGGUCUACUUGCACAAAGUGGUGUUUAAUUACAGAGACAUUAGAUUACUGUUGCUACUCCCUUCAAUUAGGAGAAGAUUGGUGGUAGAUCCAGAGGCAAAGGGGAAGGGGAAGUGAAGAAGGGAGGAUCUGGAGCCAAAAGGGAACUUACCUUGAUUGAUGCUGCCUAGUACGCCUCUCUCCUCCCUUUACUUCCGCUCGGCCAACUGCUCAUUACGUGAAGUUGGUUCAUGUAGCACUAAAAUUGCAUCACGUUGUAUUAUAAUUGGUUGUGGUAGCACAAACGGUGGUCUAAAAAAUAGUUGCAUCUCAUAGUAUAAAAGUUGCACCAUCUAGUACAACCAGUUGGCAAUGAAAAAAGUUCAUCGAAACAUAUAUAAAUGGGGUCUACUUUUAAAGAUCUCGUCGCGAGGGUUCCGAUGGUGGAAACGGAUUUUAAUUUUGACAUGUAAUUCGAAAGUUAUAGCUUUUUGAAUUUUUUGGAAUGCAAUUAAUUGCCUUUUUACUUUAUUACUGGCAUGGCAGAGCAUAUGAAAAAGAACUUGGGCCAGCGUGAAGGCGAGUGGAUGAUGCUUUUCGAUUUUGGUCUCUGGAAUCAACGGACUUUCCUAAUCAAGAGAUGGGACAAAAAAUUUCCUAAUACAGCCGGCUGCCGAGGAGCGCUAGCGAGCGCACGGCUGCUCGCUAGACGCGUCCUU
This 1096-nucleotide long non-coding RNA is filed under the name Triticum aestivum (bread wheat). RNAcentral's name for it is "long non-coding RNA (TAES_LNC026243)". The record is from RNAcentral. Lineage: Eukaryota; Viridiplantae; Streptophyta; Magnoliopsida; Poales; Poaceae.